GAGGGUAUAGCUAAGUGGUACAGUGCAUGCCUAGUAUGCACAAGGCCCUGGGUUCAAUCCCCAGUUCCUCCA
RNAcentral lists this transfer RNA (72 nucleotides) under Camelus bactrianus (Bactrian camel). It matches the Rfam family "tRNA". From Rfam's summary of the family: Transfer RNA (tRNA) molecules are approximately 80 nucleotides in length. Lineage: Eukaryota; Metazoa; Chordata; Mammalia; Artiodactyla; Camelidae. RNAcentral also lists the same sequence under 3 other names. The record is from Rfam by way of RNAcentral.